RNAcentral lists this ribosomal RNA (301 nucleotides) under uncultured bacterium. RNAcentral's name for it is "partial 16S ribosomal RNA". It matches the Rfam family "Bacterial small subunit ribosomal RNA", at positions 509 to 807 of the family's 1533-position model. The record is from RNAcentral.
CAGCAGCCACGGGAAUACGUAGGGUGCGAGCGUUAAUCGGAAUUACUGGGCGUAAAGCGUGCGCAGGCGGUUAUAUAAGACAGAUGUGAAAUCCCCGGGCUCAACCUGGGACCUGCAUUUGUGACUGUAUAGCUAGAGUACGGUAGAGGGGGAUGGAAUUCCGCGUGUAGCAGUGAAAUGCGUAGAUAUGCGGAGGAACACCGAUGGCGAAGGCAAUCCCCUGGACCUGUACUGACGCUCAUGCACGAAAGCGUGGGGAGCAAACAGGAUUAGAUACCCGUGUAGUCCCUGUCUCUUAUAC